CAGCAGCCACGGGAAUACGAAGGGGGCUAGCGUUGUUCGGAUUUACUGGGCGUAAAGGGCGCGUAGGCGGAUUUGUAAGUCAGGGGUGAAAUCCCGAGGCCCAACCUCGGAACUGCCUUUGAUACUGUGGAUCUUGAGUCCGGGAGAGGUGAGUGGAACUGCGAGUGUAGAGGUGAAAUUCGUAGAUAUUCGCAAGAACACCAGUGGCGAAGGCGGCUCACUGGCCCGGAACUGACGCUGAGGCGCGAAAGCGUGGGGAGCAAACAGGAUUAGAUACCCGAGUAGUCCCUGUCUCUUAUAC
This 301-nucleotide ribosomal RNA is filed under the name uncultured bacterium. RNAcentral's name for it is "partial 16S ribosomal RNA". It matches the Rfam family "Bacterial small subunit ribosomal RNA", at positions 509 to 807 of the family's 1533-position model. The record is from RNAcentral.